This 568-nucleotide ribosomal RNA is filed under the name uncultured bacterium. RNAcentral's name for it is "bacterial SSU rRNA". It matches the Rfam family "Bacterial small subunit ribosomal RNA", at positions 63 to 624 of the family's 1533-position model. The record is from RNAcentral.
CGAACGGCAGCGCGGGAGCAAUCCUGGCGGCGAGUGGCGAACGGGUGAGUAAUACAUCGGAACGUGCCCAAUCGUGGGGGAUAACGUAGCGAAAGCUACGCUAAUACCGCAUAAGAUCUACGGAUGAAAGCGGGGGAUUCGUAAGAACCUCGCGCGAGUGGAGCGGCUGAUGGCAGAUUAGGUAGUUGGUGAGGUAAAGGCUCACCAAGCCUUCGAUCUGUAGCUGGUCUGAGAGGACGACCAGCCACGCUGGGACUGAGACACGGCCCAGACUCCUACGGGAGGCAGCAGUGGGGAAUUUUGGACAAUGGGCGAAAGCCUGAUCCAGCCAUGCCGCGUGCAGGAUGAAGGCCUUCGGGUUGUAAACUGCUUUUGUACGGAACGAAAAGGUCUUUUCUAAUAAAGAGGGCCCAUGACGGUACCGUAAGAAUAAGCACCGGCUAACUACGUGCCAGCAGCCGCGGUAAUACGUAGGGUGCAAGCGUUAAUCGGAAUUACUGGGCGUAAAGCGUGCGCAGGCGGUUAUAUAAGACAGUUGUGAAAUCCCCGGGCUCAACCUGGGAACUGC